GGACCGUUAGCUCAGCUGGAUAGAGCGCUGCCCUCCGAAGGCAGAGGCCAGAGGUUCGAAUCCUCUACGGUCCG
This is a transfer RNA of Tateyamaria sp. ANG-S1, 74 nucleotides long. It matches the Rfam family "tRNA". Rfam says of the family: Transfer RNA (tRNA) molecules are approximately 80 nucleotides in length. Their secondary structure includes four short double-helical elements and three loops (D, anti-codon, and T loops). Lineage: Bacteria; Pseudomonadati; Pseudomonadota; Alphaproteobacteria; Rhodobacterales; Roseobacteraceae. The record is from Rfam.